CCUACGGGAGGCAGCAGUGAGGAAUAUUGGGCAAUGGGCGCGAGCCUGAACCAGCCAAGGCGCGUGAGGGAAGACGGUCCUAUGGAGUGUAAACCUCUUUUGUCGGGGAGCAAAAGACGCCACGCGUGGCGGUCCGAGAGGAACCGAAGAAAAAGCAGCGGCUAACUCCGUGCCAGCAGCCGCGGUAAUACGGAGGAUGCGAGCGUUAUCCGGAUUUAUUGGGUUUAAAGGGUGCGCAGGCGGAAGAUCAAGUCAGCGGUAAAAUUGAGAGGCUCAACCUCUUCGAGCCGUUGAAACUGGUUUUCUUGAGUGAGCGAGAAGUAUGCGGAAUGCGUGGUGUAGCGGUGAAAUGCAUAGAUAUCACGCAGAACUCCGAUUGCGAAGGCAGCAUACCGGCGCUCACCUGACGCUCAUGCACGAAAGUGUGGGUAUCGAACAGGAUUAGAUACCCGAGUAGUC
Molecule: ribosomal RNA, 459 nt
Filed under: uncultured bacterium
Lineage: Bacteria
Description: partial 16S ribosomal RNA
Rfam family: Bacterial small subunit ribosomal RNA
Source: RNAcentral